RNAcentral lists this transfer RNA (84 nucleotides) under Flavobacteriaceae bacterium. Its description in RNAcentral is "tRNA-Leu". It matches the Rfam family "tRNA". From Rfam's summary of the family: Transfer RNA (tRNA) molecules are approximately 80 nucleotides in length. Lineage: Bacteria; Pseudomonadati; Bacteroidota; Flavobacteriia; Flavobacteriales; Flavobacteriaceae. The record is from RNAcentral.
GCACACGUGGCGGAAUUGGUAGACGCGCUAGCUUGAGGGGCUAGUGAGAUUUAUCUCGUGGAAGUUCGAGUCUUCUCGUGUGCA